RNAcentral lists this ribosomal RNA (446 nucleotides) under uncultured bacterium. RNAcentral describes it as "partial 16S ribosomal RNA". It matches the Rfam family "Bacterial small subunit ribosomal RNA", at positions 338 to 795 of the family's 1533-position model. The record is from RNAcentral.
CCUACGGGUGGCAGCAGUCGAGAAUCAUUCACAAUGGGGGAAACCCUGAUGCUGCGACGCCGCGUGGGGGAAUGAAGGUCUUCGGUUUGUAACCCCCUGUCUUGUGGGAGCAAAUUAAAAAGAUAGUACCACAAGAGGAAGAGACGUCUAACUCUGUGCCAGCAGCCGAGGGAAUACAGAGUUCUCAAGUGUUGUUCGGAAUCACUGGGCGUAAAGCGUGCGUAAGCUGUUUCGUAAGUCGUGUGUGAAAGGCGAGGGCUCAACCAGCGGACCGCACAUGAUAUUGCGAGACUAGAGUAAGGGAGAGGUAAGUGGAAUUCUCGGGGUAGGAGUGAAAUGCGUAGAUAUCGAGAGGAACACUCGUGGCGAAGGCGAGUUCCUGGACAUUAACUGACGCUGAGGCACGAAGGCCAGGGGAGCGAAAGGGAUUAGAUACCCGAGUAGUC